GCAUAUAAGUAAGUGGUGGCAAACGGAAAUGCAAAUGAUGUUCCAAGUAAUGGCGAAUGAAGAGAAAAGAGCUUGUGUACAGAACUUCUGUGUAGAAGAUGGUACUAUGUUGAGGUGUGAUAAGUUGGAUUGCGUGUGGAUAUUAUCGGAAUCGAUGCAACAAAAGGUGAAAUCCCUUUCCAUCACGCGCAGAUAUCAACGCACAUUCCAUGAUCGCAGAAUCAUGUUCCUUGGGAGAGGAUUAUGAAUUGCACAGUAAAGAAUGCGCAAGGCUCAUUAAUUUUCCGAUUCCGAUAGCAUACAAGUACCGUAAGGGAAAAGUGCAAAGUACUUUGAAGAGAGGGUUAAACGUGCCUUUAAUCGCGCCAACGUAAGCAUUCCGGUUUUCAUUGUCUACUUGGGAGUUGUUUCGGCCCACUGAUACAUUACCUGUCGCAAGAAACUUUUGAGAGGACAUCGGAGACAAACUCCUUGGUGAAGAUAUGGCAUAAAGAUACUUUUUGAAAAAUAAGUCGAUUGUCAGUCUCAUUGAGACUAACAUCCGAUCAAAUCCAAAAAUAGUUCUAAUCACGAAAGGACGUUUCAAUCUGGCACAGGCCUCGAAAUCGCUCUCAGCACACGUGCCGAGCGUUACGUUACCUCUCUUCGGAUAUGCACGUCCUUCCCUGUGCCGAUCAAAGGAACUCGAAAUUUCCCGUCUUGAAACACGGACCAAGGAUUCCACACACCUUCGCGAAAACGAUUCCUAGAACCCCGUAUCUGAAGUAAAAACAAUAGCUCGGACCUCUACACAAGCGGCCCGUCUUGCUUUGCGCAAAAAUAUAUGAGCGCGAGCGUUAUUGUUGGAACUCGAAAGAUGGUGAACUAUAUUUGGAUAGGAUGAAGUCAGACGAAAGUCUGAUGGAAGUUCAUAGCGAUACUGACGUGCAAAUCGUUCGUCAUAUCUGAAUAUAGGGGCGAAAGACUAAUCGAA
Molecule: ribosomal RNA, 973 nt
Filed under: Euduboscquella sp.
Lineage: Eukaryota; Dinophyceae; Syndiniales; Eudubosquellidae
Description: partial large subunit ribosomal RNA
Rfam family: Eukaryotic large subunit ribosomal RNA
Source: RNAcentral